RNAcentral lists this ribosomal RNA (497 nucleotides) under uncultured bacterium. Its description in RNAcentral is "partial 16S ribosomal RNA". It matches the Rfam family "Bacterial small subunit ribosomal RNA", at positions 28 to 507 of the family's 1533-position model. The record is from RNAcentral.
GAUGAACGCUGGCGGCGUGCCUAAUACAUGCAAGUCGAGCGAACAGACGAGGAGCUUGCUCCUCUGACGUUAGCGGCGGACGGGUGAGUAACACGUGGAUAACCUACCUAUAAGACUGGGAUAACUUCGGGAAACCGGAGCUACUACCGGAUAAUAUAUUGAACCGCAUGGUUCAAUAGUGAAAGACGGUUUUGCUGUCACUUAUAGAUGGAUCCGCGCCGCAUUAGCUAGUUGGUAAGGUAACGGCUUACCAAGGCAACGAUGCGUAGCCGACCUGAGAGGGUGAUCGGCCACACUGGAACUGAGACACGGUCCAGACUCCUACGGGAGGCAGCAGUAGGGAAUCUUCCGCAAUGGGCGAAAGCUUGACGGAGCAACGCCGCGUGAGUGAUGAAGGUCUUCGGAUCGUAAAACUCUUUUAUUAGGGAAGAACAAAUGUGUAAGUAACUAUGCACGUCUUGACGGUACCUAAUCAGAAAGCCACGGCUAACUACGUG